GAGAUGAACGCUUAGCGGCAGGCUUAAUACAUGCAAAGUUCGAGGGGCAGCGGGAGUAGCAAUACUUGCCGGCGACCCGGCGCACGGGGUGCGUAACACGUAUGUAAAUCUGGCCCAUCACAGGAGGAUAGCCCGGANAAAUUCGGAUUAAUCUCCAUAAUAGAAGAUAAAGCAUUUUAUUUCUUGAAAGUUCCGACGGUGAUGGAUGAACAUGCGACUGAUUAGUUUGUUGGUGAGGUAACGGGCUCACCAAGACUACGAUCAGUAGGGGUACUGAGAGGUUAAACCCCCACACUGGUACUGAGACACGGACCAGACUCCUACGGGAGGCAGCAGUAAGGAAUAUUGGACAAUGGCCGCAAGGCUGAUCCAGCCAUGCCGCGUGCAGGAAGACGGACCUAUGGUUGUAAACUGCUUUUGAACGGGACGAAAACCCCCCUACGUGUAGGGGGCUGAUAGUACUGUUAGAAUAAGCAUCGGCUAACUUCGUG
RNAcentral lists this ribosomal RNA (491 nucleotides) under uncultured bacterium. RNAcentral's name for it is "bacterial SSU rRNA". It matches the Rfam family "Bacterial small subunit ribosomal RNA", at positions 28 to 507 of the family's 1533-position model. The record is from RNAcentral.